RNAcentral lists this ribosomal RNA (440 nucleotides) under uncultured bacterium. RNAcentral's name for it is "bacterial SSU rRNA". It matches the Rfam family "Bacterial small subunit ribosomal RNA", at positions 339 to 796 of the family's 1533-position model. The record is from RNAcentral.
CUACGGGAGGCAGCAGUGGGGAAUAUUGGACAAUGGGCGAAAGCCUGAUCCAGCAAUGCCGCGUGAGUGAAGAAGGCCUUAGGGUUGUAAAGCUCUUUCGCCUGCGACGAUGAUGACGGUAGCGGGAGAAGAAGCCCCGGCUAAUUUCGUGCCAGCAGCCGCGGUAAUACGAAAGGGGCUAGCGUUGUUCGGAAUUACUGGGCGUAAAGAGCAUGUAGGCGGCUUGGCAAGUGAGGCGUGAAAGUCCUGGGCUCAACCUGGGGACUGCGCUUCAGACUGCCUCGCUUGAGUCCGGAAGAGGGUGGUGGAAUUCCGAGUGUAGAGGUGAAAUUCGUAGAUAUUCGGAGGAACACCGGUGGCGAAGGCGGCCACCUGGUCCGGCACUGACGCUAAAGUGCGAAAGCGUGGGGAGCAAACAGGAUUAGAAACCCUUGUAGUCC